This 434-nucleotide ribosomal RNA is filed under the name Turritella bacillum. Its description in RNAcentral is "partial 12S small subunit ribosomal RNA". Lineage: Eukaryota; Metazoa; Mollusca; Gastropoda; Turritellidae. The record is from RNAcentral.
UAAAGCUUCAAACUGGGAUUAGAUACCCCACUAUUCUUAGAAGUAAAUAGAUUUUAUUCUACCAGAGUACUACGAACCACUUAUUUAAAACUCAAAGAACUUGGCGGUGCCUUAGACCCCUCAGGGGAACCUGUUUCAUAAUCGACAAUCCACGUUACACCUUACCUUUUUUGGCAAUCAGUAUGUAUACCGUCGUCGUCAGGUAACUUUUAAGAACAAAGAAGUUAACAAAAAAGAACUUACCUCUUACGUCAGAUCAAGGUGCAGCUAAUAAAAAGGAGAGAAUGGGUUACAAUUAAAACUUAUAAUACGAAAAGAAAAUUUAAAUUUUUACUGAAGGAGGACUUGAAAGUAAGCUAAAAUUACAAAAAUUAUCUGAAUCAUUAAAUUGGCUCUUAGGCGUGCACACACCGCCCGUCACCCUCUGCAGUCAA